RNAcentral lists this ribosomal RNA (572 nucleotides) under uncultured bacterium. Its description in RNAcentral is "partial 16S ribosomal RNA". It matches the Rfam family "Bacterial small subunit ribosomal RNA", at positions 355 to 914 of the family's 1533-position model. The record is from RNAcentral.
UGGGGAAUCUUCCGCAAUGGACGAAAGUCUGACGGAGCAACGCCGCGUGUAUGAUGAAGGUCUUCGGAUUGUAAAGUACUGUCAUUGGGGAAGAACGGUUUUCUUGAAAAGAUUGAGAAGACAUGACGGUACCCAAGGAGGAAGCCCCGGCUAACUACGUGCCAGCAGCCGCGGUAAUACGUAGGGGGCAAGCGUUGUCCGGAAUUAUUGGGCGUAAAGGGCGCGUAGGCGGGCCUUUAAGUCCGGUGUGAAAGAUCAGGGGCUCAACCCCUGAGAGUGCAUCGGAAACUGGAGGCCUUGAGGACAGGAGAGGAAAGUGGAAUUCCACGUGUAGCGGUGAAAUGCGUAGAUAUGUGGAGGAACACCAGUGGCGAAGGCGACUUUCUGGACUGUAACUGACGCUGAGGCGCGAAAGCGUGGGGAGCAAACAGGAUUAGAUACCCUGGUAGUCCACGCCGUAAACGAUGAGUGCUAGGUGUAGAGGGUAUCGACCCCUUCUGUGCCGCAGUUAACACAAUAAGCACUCCCGCCUGGGGAGUACGGCCGCAAGGUUGAAACUCAAAUGAAUUGAC